GACAGCCAGGUGUAACAGACAGCCAGGUGUAACAGACAGCCAGGUAUAACAGACAGCCAGGUAUAACAGACAGCCAGGUAUAACAGACAGCCAGGUGUAACAGACAGCCAGGUGUAACAGACAGCCAGGUGUAACAGACAGCCAGGUGUAACAGACAGGUAUAACAGACAGACAGGUGUAACAGACAGACAGGUGUAACAGACAGACAGGUGUAACAGACAGACAGGUGUAACAGACAGACAGGUGUAACAGACAGCCAGGUAUAACAGACAGACAGGUAUAACAGACAGACAGGUAUAACAGACAGACAGGUAUAACAGACAGACAGGUAUAACAGACAGACAGGUAUAACAGACAGACAGGUAUAACAGACAGACAGGUAUAACAGACAGACAGGUAUAACAGACAGACAGGUAUAACAGACAGACAGGUGUAACAGACAGACAGGUAUAACAGACAGACAGGUGUAACAGACAGCCAGGUGUAACAGACAGGUAUAACAGACAGACAGGUGUAACAGACAGACAGGUGUAACAGACAGGUAUAACAGACAGCCAGGUGUAACAGACAGGUAUAACAGACAGACAGGUAUAACAGUCAGGUGUAACAGACAGUCAGGUAUAACAGACAGACAGGUAUAACAGUCAGGUGUAACAGACAGUCAGGUAUAACAGACAGACAGGUAUAACAGUCAGGUAUAACAGACAGCCAGGUGUAACAGACAGGUAUAACAGACAGACAGGUAUAACAGUCAGGUGUAACAGACUGACAGGUGUAACAGACAGACAGGUAUAACAGACAGACAGGUAUAACAGACAGGUGUAACAGACAGACAGGUAUAACAGUCAGGUGUAACAGACAGUCAGGUAUAACAGACAGACAGGUAUAACAGUCAGGUGUAACAGACUGACAGGUGUAACAGACAGCCAGGUAUAACAGACAGGUAUAACAGACAGACAGGUAUAACAGUCAGGUAUAACAGAC
This is a long non-coding RNA of Oncorhynchus keta (chum salmon), 984 nucleotides long. RefSeq lists it as uncharacterized. NCBI's taxonomy places the organism in Eukaryota, Metazoa, Chordata, Actinopteri, Salmoniformes, Salmonidae. The record is from RefSeq and is a predicted model, not a curated record. The transcript has 4 exons.